GUGGGGAAUUUUGGACAAUGGGGGCAACCCUGAUCCAGCCAUGCCGCGUGAGUGAAGAAGGCCUUCGGGUUGUAAAGCUCUUUCGGCCGGGAAAAAAUCGCCUCUCCUAAUACGGGGGGUGGAUGAUGGUACCGGACUAAGAAGCACCGGCUAACUACGUGCCAGCAGCCGCGGUAAUACGUAGGGUGCGAGCGUUAAUCGGAAUUACUGGGCGUAAAGCGUGCGCAGGCGGUUUUUUAAGACAGGCGUGAAAUCCCCGGGCUUAACCUGGGAACUGCGCUUGUGACUGGAAGGCUAGAGUACGGCAGAGGGGGGUGGAAUUCCACGUGUAGCAGUGAAAUGCGUAGAGAUGUGGAGGAACACCGAUGGCGAAGGCAGCCCCCUGGGCCGAUACUGACGCUCAUGCACGAAAGCGUGGGGAGCAAACAGGAUUAGAAACCCCAGUAGUCC
RNAcentral lists this ribosomal RNA (450 nucleotides) under uncultured bacterium. RNAcentral describes it as "partial 16S ribosomal RNA". It matches the Rfam family "Bacterial small subunit ribosomal RNA", at positions 354 to 796 of the family's 1533-position model. The record is from RNAcentral.